RNAcentral lists this long non-coding RNA (1588 nucleotides) under Microcebus murinus (gray mouse lemur). Its description in RNAcentral is "lncRNA (ENSMICG00000048844.1)". The record is from RNAcentral. Lineage: Eukaryota; Metazoa; Chordata; Mammalia; Primates; Cheirogaleidae.
GAAAAGCAGGUGCCUGCAUCCGCGCGGGCACACGCCUCAGCGGCUCGGCUGCCUUGCAGCGUGCACACGUCUCGUUUCAGGAGGGGCUCGGCUCACAAAGGUGGAGGGAAUCCAGGGGGGGGGGGAAGAGCCUUAGUGGAAAUUGCCUUUGUUGCAAAGAGAAUCCCGAAGGGAGCCGUCAUUGGGACACUUGGUUUUGAACGGCUGGAGCACGAGGCGCGUCCUGGUGCGGGAAGGGGCGGAGAAGGGCGGCUGUCGGAAGCAGCUCCCGGGCUCCUGGGCUGGGACAGGCUUUUUCUGUCCUGUCCUCUUUGCUUCUAGCACAGAGCCACCGCAUGUUCACGGAGCACCACCCCGUGCAGGGAGCAAGGGCUUGGUGACAGGAUCCGAUGGCCGAGGGGCACGUCCUCCCUAAGGGACAGAGCAAACAGUGGAGCCCAGGGGCCACUGUCCACAGGGUGGGAGAUGCCGCACACAGCUGCUCAUGGCCCUGAAAGAGAAGGGUCUGGAGCAGGAGAGUGGCCGCAGCAGCCCGGCCUGCUAGCAAGGACCAACAGGAGGCUUGACAAGGCCUCCCCCGCCCUCUGCCUCCGCCAGGAAGGAGAAGCAGCGCUAGGGCUGCCCCGGUUCAUGCCCGAAGGUCUCACUUGCUUCUGCAGCCGGCAGGCUCAGCAGGUCGUGCUCCCUGGGGAGACCGGGGCCAGGGCACCAGCCAGAGCGCAGAGGGCCGGGGGGCUCGGGCUGGGGCUGACGUCCUAGGAGGCGGGCAGUGGGGUCCAGCAGCUGCUGCGUUGGUGGCCCUCGCCACGGUGGAGGGGCAGAGCUGUGGACUUCCAGCUGCUCCCAGGGUGGGUGGUACCACACAAGGAGAAACCAACAAAACUUCUCCCUCCUCCGCCUCCCUCUUUUCCUCCCUCUGUCCUUCCUUUCCCCUCCCAGACAUUUAUUGAGUGCCUACUGUAUGCCGAAGGUGAUUCUAGGAGCUGUGUAUGCAGUGGUAAGCAGAAACACAACCUUGCCCAUGUGGAACUUCCGUUCCGACAGGAGGAGAGAAACCAGUGUGUGUCAGAUGAGCAGACAGGGCCGUGCGUGCAGAAGAGGGCAGGUGAGAGACACCUGCCACUGGGCCUCUGUGGAGGGACGUCCUCGGAGCAACUGGCCAUCCCGGGCGGCUGGCCUGCCCACCCCUCAGCACAGACCCAGGGACUCCAGGGCCCCCCCCCACACUGCACAGGGCCUGCGGGGCCUGCGGGGCAGCCAAAAAUCCACAUACACAGCCUUGACCUUCCAGUCAAUGCCAACAUUCGUGAAUGGGCGUGGCCUCUGCAGGGAUGAGCACAAGAAAGCCACGCUCUGCGACAGCGUGGGGAAGCAUUCCUGAGCGUCCUCGGCACCGAUGGCGGAAGCCUUUCCUUCCCAGUAUAAUUGGCCUUUACACUUGGUGAGUAAUGAUCACAGGAAAAGCGCGCCCUGCUGAAGCCCGGGGAAUGUAUCACUGACUUACUCAUCCAUUCCAUAAAUACUAACGCAAGCUGUUGGCACGUUUGCACCUCAGCUCAGGGCCACGUGCUCGUGAGCUGCUUGGGCU